UACGAAGGGGGCUAGCGUUGCUCGGAAUCACUGGGCGUAAAGCGCACGUAGGUGGGUCGUUAAGUCGGGGGUGAAAUCCUGGAGCUCAACUCCAGAACUGCCUUCGAUACUGGAAGACUUGAGUCCGGGAGAGGUGAGUGGAACUGCGAGUGUAGAGGUGAAAUUCGUAGAUAUUCGCAAGAACACCGGUGGCGAAGGCGGCCCGCUGGGCAACUGCUGACACUGAGGCGCGACAGCGUGGGGAGCAAACAGG
RNAcentral lists this ribosomal RNA (253 nucleotides) under uncultured bacterium. RNAcentral describes it as "partial 16S ribosomal RNA". It matches the Rfam family "Bacterial small subunit ribosomal RNA", at positions 524 to 776 of the family's 1533-position model. The record is from RNAcentral.